AGGGUUCGAUCAUGGCUCAGGAUGAACGCUAGCGGGAGGCUUAACACAUGCAAGUCGAGGGGCAGCAUUUCUAGCUUGCUAGAAGAUGGCGACCGGCGGACGGGUGCGUAACGCGUAUGCAACUUGCCUAUAACUUAGGGAUAACUUGGAGAAAUCCUUGCUAAUAUCUAAUGUGAUCAAAAAUUCGCAUGUUUUUUUGAUUAAAGAAUUUCGGUUAUAGAUAGGCAUGCGUCCUAUUAGCUAGUUGGUAAGGUAAUGGCUUACCAAGGCGACGAUAGGUAGGGGGCCUGAGAGGGUGAUCCCCCACACUGGUACUGAGACACGGACCAGACUCCUACGGGAGGCAGCAGUGAGGAAUAUUGGUCAAUGGAGGCAACUCUGAGCCAGCCAUCCCGCGUGAAGGAUUGAAGGCGCUCGACGUCGUAAACUUCUUUUAUAUAGGAAUAAACUUAGGUACGUGUACUUAAUUGAAUGUACUAUAUGAAUAAGCAUCGGCUAACUCCGUGCCAGCAGCCGCGGUAAUAC
This 525-nucleotide ribosomal RNA is filed under the name uncultured bacterium. RNAcentral's name for it is "bacterial SSU rRNA". It matches the Rfam family "Bacterial small subunit ribosomal RNA", at positions 8 to 526 of the family's 1533-position model. The record is from RNAcentral.